UCUCUUCUCGCCAAUCGAGCAGUACGCGCGGCUGCAGCUCCAACGAUCUGACCACCCCUCGCGGCCGCGGCUCCGCUGCUUUAAACCACCAACCAGCGCCCGGGGCUGCAGCGCGCCGCACACAACGCCUGGCGCCGCGCACGCCCCGCCCCCUGCUGCAGCGCCAGAAGCCACGAUCAGGUUGGCCUCACUCAUGCUGAAGGAGAGCCAGAGCAGCAGUCUGAGUGAAGCGGGUGACGGAUGGAGCCCUUGCACUUCUGGCAUCAAGAAGAGGUUCCUUCUUAGAAGAAGGAAGAGGGAACUGUGUGAGAAGAGUAUGCUAAUGGGAAGAAAAUGUGGCACAGAACAGUCCCAAGAGGGAAGAGUACAUCAUCAUAGUUGAAAUACAGUAGGGGCACAUGAUUCUGUGAGGGAGAACCUUAUCGAAAUGAAAGAAAAAAACCAGGGUGUACCGUUAAUAGCAAAUAAAUUUUGUGGUGUGCAUCCAUCAAAUGUGAUAUAAUGCUAAAUACUGUCUUUGAAGAAAGCAAAGAAUUGAGGAUGCUACCACAGUCCUCAUGAAAAACAAGGAAAUAGGGGACCCAACAAUAAGAAGACGGAUGAGGAAAAUGCUGUCCUCUCAAAACCGAAAGGACCAAGGAAGUUCAGAAAUACUAGUAUAUGGGAAACUGGCAAGAGUCAGAGGAAAAUGGGCCAGACCUUCUUAAAGGUCCUGGGACUUCACAUGACCUGUGAGAAGGGUGAGAGAAUCUGUAACUUUAAAGGAGAAUAAACAGAACACAUGCUCCAAAUAUGGCCAAAUAAAAUGCCAUUAAUACUAAAAAAUACACUUUGAAGGAAAAAAAGAGAAAUUAAUAUUCACUUUAAACUCAAAUUAUUUAUUGCAUACCAGUGGUUAAAACAUUAACACAGUAGAGUCUGGGUGUCAUUGGUGAACAAAACAAAAGUGUAAUACAUUAAAUAAAAGUAAGCAAUAAAUUAA
Molecule: long non-coding RNA, 982 nt
Organism: Pezoporus flaviventris
Lineage: Eukaryota; Metazoa; Chordata; Aves; Psittaciformes; Psittacidae
Exons: 2
Source: RefSeq, a predicted model, not a curated record